ACGGGAGGCAGCAGUGGGGAGUAUUGCACAAUGGGGGAAACCCUGAUGCAGCGACGCCGCGUGAGUGAUGAAGUAUUUCGGUAUGUAAAGCUCUAUCAGCAGGGAAGAUAAUGACGGUACCUGACUAAGAAGCACCGGCUAAAUACGUGCCAGCAGCCGCGGUAAUACGUAUGGUGCAAGCGUUAUCCGGAUUUACUGGGUGUAAAGGGUGCGUAGGCGGUAUGGCAAGUCAGAAGUGAAAACUGGGGGCUCAACCCCCAGACUGCUUUUGAAACUGUCAAACUAGAGUACAGGAGAGGCAAGCGGAAUUCCUAGUGUAGCGGUGAAAUGCGUAGAUAUUAGGAGGAACACCAGUGGCGAAGGCGGCUUGCUGGACUGUAACUGACGCUGAGGCACGAAAGCGUGGGGAGCAAACAGGAUUAGAUACCCUGGUA
Molecule: ribosomal RNA, 434 nt
Filed under: uncultured bacterium
Lineage: Bacteria
Description: partial 16S ribosomal RNA
Rfam family: Bacterial small subunit ribosomal RNA
Source: RNAcentral